GUAGGUGGCAAGCGUUGUCCGGAAUUAUUGGGCGUAAAGCGCGCGCAGGCGGUCCUUUAAGUCUGAUGUGAAAGCCCACGGCUCAACCGUGGAGGGUCAUUGGAAACUGGGGGACUUGAGUGCAGAAGAGGAGAGUGGAAUUCCACGUGUAGCGGUGAAAUGCGUAGAGAUGUGGAGGAACACCAGUGGCGAAGGCGACUCUCUGGUCUGUAACUGACGCUGAGGCGCGAAAGCGUGGGGGGGAGCGAACAGGAUUAGAUACCCUGGUAGUCCACGCCGUAAACGAUGAGUGCUAAGUGUUAGAGGGUUUCCCGCCCUUUAGUGCUGCAGCUAACGCAUUAAGCACUCCGCCUGGGAGUACGGUCGCAAGACUG
RNAcentral lists this ribosomal RNA (374 nucleotides) under uncultured organism. RNAcentral describes it as "partial 16S ribosomal RNA". It matches the Rfam family "Bacterial small subunit ribosomal RNA", at positions 527 to 896 of the family's 1533-position model. The record is from RNAcentral.